AUGCAAGUCGCGGGAGAAAGCCCUUUCGGUGGGCGGAGACCGGCGCACGGGUGAGUAACACGUAGCUAAUCUACCCUAAAGAGGGGAAUAACCAGUGGAAACAGUGGCUAAUGCCCCAUACGCUCAUAGACUGUAGCGGGCAGUGAGAAAAGCUUAAGGUGCUUAGGGAUGGGGCUGCGAACCAUCAGCUAGAUGGUGGGGUAAUGGCCUACCAUGGCAACGACGGAUAGGGGACCUGAGAGGGUGACCCCCCACACUGGGACUGAGACACGGCCCAGACUCCUACGGGAGGCAGCAGUGAGGAAUAUUGCACAAUGGGCGCAAGCCUGAUGCAGCGACGCCGCGUGGGUGAAGACGGUUUUCGGAUCGUAAAGCCCUUUUCUGUGUGACGAGAGUGGACGGUAGCACAGGAAUAAGUGUCGGCUAACUACGUGCCAGCAGCCGCGGUAAAACGUAGGACGCAAGCGUUAUCCGGAGUUACUGGGCGUAAAGCGCGUGCAGGCGGAUUGUUAAGUUACUUAUGAAAGCUCUUGGCUAAACUAGGAGAGGUUGAGUGAAACUGGCAAUCUAGAGUGGAGGAGAGGAAGGCGGAAUUCCGCGUGUAGUGGUGAAAUGCGUAAUUGCGGAGGAACACCCAGUGGGCGAAGGCGGUUUACUGGCAUCCGAAACUGACGCUGAGACGCGAAAGCGUGGGGAGCGAACGGGAUUAGAACCCCCGGUAGUCCACGCCGUAAACGAUGCACACUAUAAACCGUUUCGUUAUCCGCGAAGGCUUGUGAAGUGUUUGAAGCCAACGCGAUAAGUGUGCCGCCUUGGGGAGUACGUUCGCAAGGCUUAAAACUCAAAGGAAUUGACGGGGGCCCGCAACAAGCAGCGGAGCGUGUGGUUUUAAUUCGAGGAUACGCGAAGAACCUUACCUGGGUUUGACAUAGUGGUAGUACUCAAGGUGCUGAAAGGCCUCUGACCCGCAAGGGAGCAUUAACAGGUGCUGCAUGGUUGUCGUCAGCUCGUGCCGUGAGGUGUUCGGUUAAGUCCGCAAACGAGCGCAACCCUUGCCGUUAGUUACAAGUGUCUAACGGGACUGCCCGUGGCAAACGGGAGGAAGGUAGGGAUGACGUCAAAUCAGCAUGGCCUUUAUAUCUAGGGCGACACACACGCUACAAUGGUACGUACAAUGGGUCGCGAAGUCGCGAGGCGGAGCCAAUCCUGAAAAGCGUAUCACAGUUCGGAUUGCAGGCUGCAACUCGCCUGCAUGAAGUCGGAGUUGCUAGUAACCGCGUAUCAGCACGGCGCGGUGAAUACGUUCCCGGGCCUUGUACACACCGCCCGUCACGUCAUGGAAGUUGGUUACGCCUGAAGUCGGGAAGCUAACCGCAAGGGGGCUACCGCCGAAGGCAGGACUGAUGACUGGGACGAAGUCGUAACAAGGUAGCUGUAGCGGAAGCUGCGGCUGGAUCACCUCCU
Molecule: ribosomal RNA, 1464 nt
Filed under: uncultured prokaryote
Description: partial 16S ribosomal RNA
Rfam family: Bacterial small subunit ribosomal RNA
Source: RNAcentral